CCUACGGGUGGCAGCAGUCGAGAAUCAUUCACAAUGGGGGAAACCCUGAUGGUGCGACGCCGCGUGGGGGAAUGAAGGUCUUCGGAUUGUAAACCCCUGUCAUGUGGGAGCAAAUUAAAAAGAUAGUACCACAAGAGGAAGAGACGGCAAACUCUGUGCCAGCAGCCGCGGUAAUACAGAGGUCUCAAGCGUUGUUCGGAAUCACUGGGCGUAAAGCGUGCGUAGGCUGUUUCGUAAGUCGUGUGUGAAAGGCGCGGGCUCAACCCGCGGACGGCACAUGAUACUGCGAGACUAGAGUAAUGGAGGGGGAACCGGAAUUCGCGGUGUAGCAGUGAAAUGCGUAGAUAUCGAGAGGAACACUCGUGGCGAAGGCGGGUUACUGGACAUUAACUGACGCUGAGGCACGAAGGCCAGGGGAGCGAAAGGGAUUAGAUACCCUAGUAGUC
RNAcentral lists this ribosomal RNA (446 nucleotides) under uncultured bacterium. RNAcentral's name for it is "partial 16S ribosomal RNA". It matches the Rfam family "Bacterial small subunit ribosomal RNA", at positions 338 to 795 of the family's 1533-position model. The record is from RNAcentral.